This 351-nucleotide unclassified non-coding RNA is filed under the name soil metagenome. RNAcentral describes it as "partial contains 5.8S ribosomal RNA, internal transcribed spacer 2, and large subunit ribosomal RNA". The stretch from base 1 to 120 matches the Rfam family "5.8S ribosomal RNA", at positions 35 to 154 of the family's 154-position model. The record is from RNAcentral.
GAUGAAGAACGCAGCGAAAUGCGAUAAGUAAUGUGAAUUGCAGAAUUCAGUGAAUCAUCGAAUCUUUGAACGCACAUUGCGCCCGCGAGUAUUCUCGCGGGCAUGCCUGUCCGAGCGUCAUUUCAACCCUCAGGGCCCGCCUGCUUGCAGGCGCGGCGCUGGUGUUGGGGAUCGGCUACCCUGCCGUCCCCCAAAUACAGUGGCGGUCUCGCUGCAGCCUCCCCUGCGUAGUAGCAACACUCGCAUGCGGAGCGCGGCGCGGCCACGCCGUAAAACCCCCGACUUUCUGAACGUUGACCUCGGAUCAGGCAGGAAUACCCGCUGAACUUAAGCAUAUCAAUAAGCGGAGGA